Molecule: ribosomal RNA, 753 nt
Filed under: Cosmospora micropedis
Lineage: Eukaryota; Fungi; Ascomycota; Sordariomycetes; Hypocreales; Nectriaceae
Description: eukaryotic LSU rRNA
Rfam family: Eukaryotic large subunit ribosomal RNA
Source: RNAcentral
CCUCGGGUCCGAGUUGUAAUUUGUAGAGGAUGCUUUUGGUGCGGUGCCUUCCGAGUUCCCUGGAACGGGACGCCAUAGAGGGUGAGAGCCCCGUCUGGUUGGACACCAAGCCUCUGUAAAGCUCCUUCGACGAGUCGAGUAGUUUGGGAAUGCUGCUCUAAAUGGGAGGUAUAUGUCUUCUAAAGCUAAAUACCGGCCAGAGACCGAUAGCGCACAAGUAGAGUGAUCGAAAGAUGAAAAGCACUUUGAAAAGAGGGUUAAAUAGUACGUGAAAUUGUUGAAAGGGAAGCGCUUAUGACCAGACUUGAGCCCGGUUAAUCAUCCAGCCUUCUGGCUGGUGCACUUGGCCGGCUCAGGCCAGCAUCAGUUCGGCGCGGGGGAUAAAGGUUUCGGGAAUGUGGCUCCUCCGGGAGUGUUAUAGCCCGUUGCGUAAUACCCUGCGCUGGACUGAGGUUCGCGCAUCUGCAAGGAUGCUGGCGUAAUGGUCAUCAGCGACCCGUCUUGAAACACGGACCAAGGAGUCGUCUUCGUAUGCGAGUGUUCGGGUGUCAAACCCCUACGCGUAAUGAAAGUGAACGCAGGUGAGAGCUUCGGCGCAUCAUCGACCGAUCCUGAUGUUCUCGGAUGGAUUUGAGUAAGAGCAUACGGGGCCGGACCCGAAAGAAGGUGAACUAUGCCUGUAUAGGGUGAAGCCAGAGGAAACUCUGGUGGAGGCUCGCAGCGGUUCUGACGUGCAAAUCGAUCGUCAAAUAU